RNAcentral lists this small nuclear RNA (23 nucleotides) under Arabidopsis thaliana (thale cress). RNAcentral describes it as "snRNA_13474". The record is from RNAcentral. Lineage: Eukaryota; Viridiplantae; Streptophyta; Magnoliopsida; Brassicales; Brassicaceae.
UUACUCUCAUCUAAUAGGAACAU